GACUACAUGAAGCUGGAAUCGCUAGUAAUCGCGGAUCAGAAUGCCGCGGUGAAUACGUUCCCGGGUCUUGUACACACCGCCCGUCACACCAUGGGAGUCGGAAAUGCCCGAAGUCUGUGACCCAACCUACGGGAGGGAGCAGCCGAAGGCAGGUCGGAUGACUGGGGUGAAGUCGUAACAAGGUAAC
This 187-nucleotide ribosomal RNA is filed under the name uncultured bacterium. RNAcentral's name for it is "partial 16S ribosomal RNA". It matches the Rfam family "Bacterial small subunit ribosomal RNA", at positions 1314 to 1500 of the family's 1533-position model. The record is from RNAcentral.